GAUGGAUUGGUGCCUUCGGGAACUGUGAGACAGGUGCUGCAUGGCUGUCGUCAGCUCGUGUUGUGAAAUGUUGGGUUAAGUCCCGCAACGAGCGCAACCCUUAUCCUUUGUUGCCAGCGGUCCGGCCGGGAACUCAAAGGAGACUGCCAGUGAUAAACUGGAGGAAGGUGGGAUGACGUCAAGUCAUCAUGGCCCUUACGACCAGGGCUACACACGUGCUACAAUGGCAUAUACAAAGAGAAGCGACCUCGCGAGAGCAAGCGGACCUCAUAAAGUAUGUCGUAGUCCGGAUUGGAGUCUGCAACUCGACUCC
This 313-nucleotide ribosomal RNA is filed under the name Klebsiella pneumoniae. Its description in RNAcentral is "bacterial SSU rRNA". It matches the Rfam family "Bacterial small subunit ribosomal RNA", at positions 1005 to 1319 of the family's 1533-position model. Lineage: Bacteria; Pseudomonadati; Pseudomonadota; Gammaproteobacteria; Enterobacterales; Enterobacteriaceae. The record is from RNAcentral.